This 1224-nucleotide ribosomal RNA is filed under the name Vibrio cholerae O1. RNAcentral describes it as "bacterial LSU rRNA". It matches the Rfam family "Bacterial large subunit ribosomal RNA", at positions 1597 to 2804 of the family's 2925-position model. The record is from RNAcentral. Lineage: Bacteria; Pseudomonadati; Pseudomonadota; Gammaproteobacteria; Vibrionales; Vibrionaceae.
AUGCCAUGCUUCCAGGAAAAGCCUCUAAGCUUCAGAUAGUCAGGAAUCGUACCCCAAACCGACACAGGUGGUCGGGUAGAGAAUACCAAGGCGCUUGAGAGAACUCGGGUGAAGGAACUAGGCAAAAUGGUACCGUAACUUCGGGAGAAGGUACGCUCUUGAUGGUGAAGUCCCUCGCGGAUGGAGCUGACGAGAGUCGCAGAUACCAGGUGGCUGCAACUGUUUAUUAAAAACACAGCACUGUGCAAAAUCGCAAGAUGACGUAUACGGUGUGACGCCUGCCCGGUGCCGGAAGGUUAAUUGAUGGGGUUAGCGCAAGCGAAGCUCUUGAUCGAAGCCCCGGUAAACGGCGGCCGUAACUAUAACGGUCCUAAGGUAGCGAAAUUCCUUGUCGGGUAAGUUCCGACCUGCACGAAUGGCGUAAUGAUGGCCACGCUGUCUCCACCCGAGACUCAGUGAAAUUGAAAUCGCUGUGAAGAUGCAGUGUACCCGCGGCUAGACGGAAAGACCCCGUGAACCUUUACUACAGCUUGGCACUGAACAUUGAACCUACAUGUGUAGGAUAGGUGGGAGGCUAUGAAGACGUGACGCCAGUUGCGUUGGAGCCGUCCUUGAAAUACCACCCUUGUAUGUUUGAUGUUCUAACUUAGACCCAUUAUCUGGGUUGAGGACAGUGCCUGGUGGGUAGUUUGACUGGGGCGGUCUCCUCCCAAAGAGUAACGGAGGAGCACGAAGGUGGGCUAAUCACGGUUGGACAUCGUGAGGUUAGUGCAAUGGCAUAAGCCCGCUUAACUGCGAGAAUGACGGUUCGAGCAGGUGCGAAAGCAGGUCAUAGUGAUCCGGUGGUUCUGUAUGGAAGGGCCAUCGCUCAACGGAUAAAAGGUACUCCGGGGAUAACAGGCUGAUACCGCCCAAGAGUUCAUAUCGACGGCGGUGUUUGGCACCUCGAUGUCGGCUCAUCACAUCCUGGGGCUGAAGUCGGUCCCAAGGGUAUGGCUGUUCGCCAUUUAAAGUGGUACGCGAGCUGGGUUUAGAACGUCGUGAGACAGUUCGGUCCCUAUCUGCCGUGGGCGUUGGAAGAUUGAAGGGGGCUGCUCCUAGUACGAGAGGACCGGAGUGGACGAACCUCUGGUGUUCGGGUUGUGUCGCCAGACGCAUUGCCCGGUAGCUAAGUUCGGAAUUGAUAAGCGCUGAAAGCAUCUAAGCGCGAAGCGAGCCCUGAGA